GGGCGCAUAGCUCAGUUGGUAGAGCAGCUGACUCUUAAUCAGCGGGUCCUAGGUUCGAGCCCUAGUGCGUCCACCA
This 76-nucleotide transfer RNA is filed under the name Beijerinckiaceae bacterium. RNAcentral's name for it is "tRNA-Lys". It matches the Rfam family "tRNA". Rfam says of the family: Transfer RNA (tRNA) molecules are approximately 80 nucleotides in length. Lineage: Bacteria; Pseudomonadati; Pseudomonadota; Alphaproteobacteria; Hyphomicrobiales; Beijerinckiaceae. The record is from RNAcentral.